Molecule: signal recognition particle RNA, 100 nt
Filed under: Chloroflexi bacterium RBG_16_64_43
Lineage: Bacteria; Bacillati; Chloroflexota
Also listed under: 2 other names
Description: signal recognition particle sRNA small type
Rfam family: Bacterial small signal recognition particle RNA
About the family: The signal recognition particle (SRP) is a universally conserved ribonucleoprotein involved in the co-translational targeting of proteins to membranes.
Source: RNAcentral
GGCCGGGACCGGCGCGGCGGAAACCUUCGAACCCCGCCAGGUCCGGAAGGAAGCAACGGUAAGGAGGAGCUUCCGGGUGCCGCCGGGGCUCCUGGUCAGG